GACGAACGCUGGCGGCGUGCUUAACACAUGCAAGUCGAACGGAAAGGCCUGCUUUCCCUUGUGGAUUGCGGGUACUCGAGUGGCGAACGGGUGAGUAACACGUGAGUGAUCUGCCCCCAACUUGGGUAUAAGCCUGGGAAACUGGGUCUAAUUCCCGAUAGGACUGCAGGGUGGUGCCUGUGGUGGAAAACGAUUUUCUAGUGGUUGGGGAUGAGCUCGCGGCCUAUCAGCUUGUUGGUGGGGUAAUGGCCUACCAAGGCGGCGACGGGUAGCCGGCCUGGGAGAGUGGCAGGGCACAUUGGGACUGGGCCACGGCCCAGAGGCCGGCGGGAGGCAGCAGUGGGGAAUAUUGCGCGAUGGGCGGAAGCCUGAAGCAGCGACGUCGGGUGGGGGAUGUCGGCCUUCGGGUUGUAAACUCCUUUCGACCGGGAGAGAGCCACCUGGUUGGAAGGGUGGUGAGGGUAGUGGUAGAAGAAGCACCGGCUAACUACGU
Molecule: ribosomal RNA, 493 nt
Filed under: uncultured bacterium
Lineage: Bacteria
Description: partial 16S ribosomal RNA
Rfam family: Bacterial small subunit ribosomal RNA
Source: RNAcentral